GGAUUGCCUCAGUAACGGCGAGUGAAGCGGCAAUAGCUCAAAUUUUAAAUCUGGCGCCCGCCCGAGUUGUAAUUUGUAGAGGUGGCUUCGGAGCCGCGCCGGCCUAAGUUCCUUGGAACAGGACGUCACAGAGGGUGAGAAUCCCGUACGUGGCUGGGCGCCUAUCCAUGUGUAGCCCCUUCGACGAGUCGAGUUGUUUGGGAAUGCAGCUCUAAAUGGGAGGUAAAUUUCUUCUAAAGCUAAAUACCAGCCAGAGACCGAUAGCGCACAAGUAGAGUGAUCGAAAGAUGAAAAGCACUUUGAAAAGAGAGUUAAAAAGUACGUGAAAUUGUUGAAAGGGAAGCGUUUGUAGCCAGACCUGACUGUAGUUGCUCAACCGGUCUCUGCCCGGUGCACUCUUCUAUAGUUAGGCCAGCAUCAGUUCGGGCAGCCGGAUAAAGGCUUGGGGAAUGUGGCUCCUCGGAGUGUUAUAGCCCCUCGCACAAUGCGGCUUGCCCGGACUGAGGGAAGCAUUCUAUGGAUGCUGGCUUAAUGGCUGCCAACGGCCCGUCUUGAAACACGGACCAAGGAGUCUAACAUCUAUGCGAGUGUUUGGGUGUCAAACCCGUGCGCGUAAUGAAAGUGAACGGAGGUGGGAGCAUUUUUGCGCACCAUCGACCGAUCCUGAUGUCUUCGGAAGGAUUUGAGUAUGAGCAUAGCUGUUGGGACCCGAAAGAUGGUGAACUAUGCCUGAAUAGGGUGAAGCCAGAGGAAACUCUGGUGGAGGCUCGCAGCGGUUCUGACGUGCAAAUCGAUCGUCAAAUUUGGGUAUAGGGGCGAAAGACUAAUCGAACCAUCUAGUAGCUG
RNAcentral lists this ribosomal RNA (846 nucleotides) under [Taeniolella] punctata. RNAcentral describes it as "eukaryotic LSU rRNA". It matches the Rfam family "Eukaryotic large subunit ribosomal RNA", at positions 72 to 953 of the family's 3401-position model. The record is from RNAcentral. Lineage: Eukaryota; Fungi; Ascomycota; Dothideomycetes; Asterinales.